AGUUGGAUAGCUGGGUCAAAUGGUGGUUUCAUUCCUAGUUUUCCAGGGAAUCUCCAUACUGCUUUCCAAUGCUGCACCAUUUUGCAGUCCCACCAGCAAU
This 100-nucleotide microRNA precursor is filed under the name Marmota monax (woodchuck). Lineage: Eukaryota; Metazoa; Chordata; Mammalia; Rodentia; Sciuridae. The record is from RNAcentral.